This 1241-nucleotide ribosomal RNA is filed under the name metagenome. Its description in RNAcentral is "bacterial LSU rRNA". It matches the Rfam family "Bacterial large subunit ribosomal RNA", at positions 1564 to 2817 of the family's 2925-position model. The record is from RNAcentral.
UGAAUACGAGACGCUAAGGCGUCGAAGUAGUGUAUGUCAUACUUCCAAGAAAAGCUUGCACUGUCAUAGAUAAAAAACGCCUGUACCAUAACCGACACAGGUGGGUAGGUAGAGUAUACUAAGGGGCGCGAGAUAACUCUCUCUAAGGAACUCGGCAAAAUAACUCCGUAACUUCGGGAGAAGGAGUGCCUUAUUCUUAAGGUUGCAAUAACAAGAUCCAAGCAACUGUUUAUCAAAAACACAGGUCUCCGCUAAGUCGUAAGACGAUGUAUGGGGGCUGACGCCUGCCCAGUGCCAGAAGGUUAAAGAAGCUGGUUAGCAUUUGCGAAGCUAGUAACUGAAGCCCUGGUGAACGGCGGCCGUAACAAUAACGGUCCUAAGGUAGCGAAAUUCCUUGUCGGGUAAGUUCCGACCCGCACGAAAGGCGUAAUGAUUUGGAUACUGUCUCGGAGAGGGGCUCGGUGAAAUAGACUUCUGUGAAGAUGCGGACUACCUGCACCAGGACAGAAAGACCCUAUGAAGCUCUACUGUAACUUGAAAUUGAAAUUGGACUUUAUUCGCGCAGUAUAGGUGGGAGGCGUUGAUUAUAAUCUUGCGGGAUUAUUGGAGCCAUUAGUGAGAUACCACUCUUGUAAUGUUAGAUUUCUAACUUUGAAUCAUUAUCUGGUCAAAGAACAGUUUCAGGCGGGCAGUUUGACUGGGGCGGUCGCCUCCCAAACGGUAACGGAGGCGUACAAAGGUUUCCUCUGAACGGUUAGAAAUCGUAUCUAGAGUGUAAAGGCAUAAGGAAGCUUGACUGUGAGACCUACAAGUCGAGCAGGGACGAAAGUCGGUCUUAGUGAUCUGACGGUACUGAGUGGAAAGGCCGUCACUCAACGGAUAAAAGUUACUCUAGGAUAACAGGCUGAUCUCCCCCAAGAGUUCACAUCGACGGGGAGGUUUGGCACCUCGAUGUCGGCUCAUCGCAUCCUGGGGCGGUAGUACGUCCCAAGGGUUGGGCUGUUCGCCCAUGAAAGCGGUACGCGAGCUGGGUUCAGAACGUCGUGAGACAGUUCGGUCCAUAUCCGGUGUAGGCGUUAGAAUAUUGAGAGGAGCCUUCUUUAGUACGAGAGGACCGAGAAGGACAUACCUCUGGUGUACCAGUUAUCGUGCCAACGGUAGACGCUGGGUAGCUAUGUAUGGAGUGGAUAACCGCUGAAAGCAUCUAAGUGGGAAGCCCACCUCAAGAUAAGUAUUCUCAU